This is a long non-coding RNA of Silurus meridionalis, 890 nucleotides long. RefSeq lists it as uncharacterized. Lineage: Eukaryota; Metazoa; Chordata; Actinopteri; Siluriformes; Siluridae. The transcript is spliced from 3 exons. The record is from RefSeq and is a predicted model, not a curated record.
UCUUGAAAUGCUACACCUGUGUGAGAAUGUAUUUUAUAUGCGCUUGCAUGUGCCUGAGAAUGAACUAAUUGUACCAAGAUUUAUGUUGCUAAAAUGUUACUCCACAGCUUGAUUAGGCAGGAGUAGUUGAAGGUCACCGAACAUGUUUCUGUUUUUCUACGUGUAUAUUCUGUUCCUCCUUACACAUACCUAUGUCUUAGUUGGCUUUAAAAUAACAAUGUUGUUUAAUGCUGAGCCUGGGUACAGCACGAAAAGCACAUAGGAGAAGAUUAUGUUCUGUUUUCUUACAACGAACAUCUGUGUUCACUACCUGUGUUUUACUACCUAGUCAGAUGCUCAUCUCGCGAGAAGGGACGUUGACUCCCUCCCAUUGCGCAAUAACCCCGCCUCCGUGGCACCUUUGUUGCAAAGCUGUGUGUAUAAAUACUUUGUUCUGAUACAUUUUUUUUAACAGUGAUCUUGAAUAAACCAGACGUGAUUUGAUUCGUGUGGGUUGUUCUUUCAUUGUUCCGAGGCGCCUCUACAGUGUGGCAAAGAGAGAGCAUAAGGACCUGAGGGGAAAAUCUUCCUAACAAUCUGGUGACCCCGACGUGAUACUCUCGAUCAGGAUGCUCUGAAACAUCAUUGGAGUGAUAGAAACAACUUGACUGUCCGGGCUGCUGGAGAAAAGUCGAUUCUUCCACAUGACCUUGCAGCUGCGAGCACUACUAGCGUCCUUCCUCCCGUUUUGUUAUCUGUUGACUCCUCUCUGUGGGCUGAGCACAAAGAUGAGGUGGGUCUUGUCUCCUGUCCUCCAUACGAGGCCAGGGUAAAACAUUUGACACCUGUGUUUGUUAAACAGUAUCCUUUAUCUCCUGAAAAAACUAACGGCAUUGACUCUAUUUUGAAUU